Molecule: long non-coding RNA, 1525 nt
Organism: Cydia fagiglandana
Lineage: Eukaryota; Metazoa; Arthropoda; Insecta; Lepidoptera; Tortricidae
Exons: 2
Source: RefSeq, a predicted model, not a curated record
AGAUACCGUGUGAGAUCGAUGCGUUACUGGCGAUCAUAAAGUAUCGUCUUGGGUCGUCCUAUUCGUUUUUCGUCAAGUUCUUAAAUUAGUCCUAUUCUGCUUUCGUCACUCAUUCUACAUUGAAAGCCACCGACGAUUGUGACGAAUGUAGAACGAAAAACGAAUGGGACGACCCAAGACGAUACCGACCAUAAUUAUAAUUAUAUAGGCACAAAAUAAAAUAUAUGAAUGAUUUAAUGAAUAUCUGUAACUGUUUUGUAAACCCUGUAUUUUAUGUACCUAGACGUUACUCUCGUAUUGCAAGUGUUAAUAUAACUACAGAUAAGUUACGAAGUUUCCAAAAAUAUGAAAAUGAUCUCGGAAAUUUCACUGGAGACGAAGGAAACAUUUAUUUUGGAAAUGGAGUUUCGAUUCCCACACAAAAAUAUGAGAAGUUCCGAAUUUUUUCCAUGUGGAAAUUUCGCAAUUUUAGAAAUUUUCUGACGGCACAUAUAUAGGUAUAGGUAAGUAUUAAUAACUGUAUGUCUGUCCCUAAUAUUACUGAGUCACGUAGAAAAACUAGGUAAAGUAAUUAUUGAUAAAAUGACUGUCGUUUUUAACCCCCGACGAAAAAAAGGGGUAACUGCGUCCAAAUGUUUCUGGAGUGAGAUAAAGUGUAUAAAAGCACUAUUAGGGGGCUAACCUGGACAAAAGCUUCACUUGCCCCGUGUAUAAUAAAUAUAUAUGUAAAUAAUAAAAUCAUAUAGAUAGGUACCAUCACGCCCCGCGAUUGUUACGCCAUUUAUGGUCCUAACUAAAUUGGUCAUUCCAUACUUACGCAAUGGAUGUCCAUUUUAGCUAGAACCCUAAAUGGAGCAACAAUCACGGAGCGUGACUGUAUCGAACUUAGUGGCAUUUUCGCCUCAUUAAUGCACAAUUACAUAAAAAAAUAACUUUAGUAACUACAAAAUCUUUACAAAUCUAGUAUCAACGAAAUUACUUAUUACUUGCCAUGCUUGAUUUGAUUACACAAAUGAGAAAAUUAUGUUGUAAACCUUAUUACUAUUCGUACAUAAAUACAUGCCUAAUUUUUUAUUGAUAUCACAUGGGAGAUGUACCUAUCUAAUCUGCUUUGCGGUGUUUUGUCGAAGUAGCCCCGCGAAGGGGCAAAAUCGUGAGCUUAUAUAAGUUUAAGAAUGCUUUAGUUGUGUAAUUAAUUUAAGUUUUCUGUUGUAAAUGUUGUUCAAAUUAGUUUAUUAUUAAUUGUUAGUCCCACGCCAAAGGUGCUUAGCAUAAGAUUAUAAAUGUUGUAUGUACAUUGUACUUCUGCAGAUUUUAUUAAUAUUAAAUGCAAAAUGCAUCACGAUAAUCUCCUUGACCUUACCGAUAUUUUGCUCCGAGUUCUGACAUGUCCUAAAUAAAUAACUAUUUAUGUAAGAAGAAAUUUAGUGAAAUAAUUUGAGACCUAAAAAAAUUGUAUAUAUUUAUUCUGAAAUUAAAUUGUUAUCAAUGUUCGAAACAUAAAUAAAGAGUUACCAAAUUUCAA